Small nuclear RNA from Cricetulus griseus (Chinese hamster), 92 nucleotides. The record is from Ensembl. Lineage: Eukaryota; Metazoa; Chordata; Mammalia; Rodentia; Cricetidae.
UUGCUUUGGCAGCACAUAAACUAAAAUUACAGAGAUUAGCAAGGUCCUUGCACAAGGAUGACAUGCAAAUCUGCGAAGCGUUCCAUAUAUUU